UUAAGUGAUAAUUGCCUAGGAGAUACACCUGUUCUCAUGCCGAACACAGAAGUUAAGCCCUAGAACGCCGGAAGUAGUUGGGGGUUGCCCC
RNAcentral lists this ribosomal RNA (91 nucleotides) under Streptococcus agalactiae. Lineage: Bacteria; Bacillati; Bacillota; Bacilli; Lactobacillales; Streptococcaceae. The record is from RNAcentral. RNAcentral also lists the same sequence under 2 other names.